RNAcentral lists this ribosomal RNA (810 nucleotides) under uncultured bacterium. Its description in RNAcentral is "bacterial SSU rRNA". It matches the Rfam family "Bacterial small subunit ribosomal RNA", at positions 8 to 796 of the family's 1533-position model. The record is from RNAcentral.
AGAGUUUGAUCCUGGCUCAGAACGAACGCUGGCGGCGUGGAUAAGACAUGCAAGUCGGACGAGACUUUUCGUUGUAGCAAUACGAUGGAAAGUUUAGUGGCGAACGGGUGCUUAACACGUGGGCAACCUGCCAGGAAGUGGGGGAUAGCUCGCCGAAAGGCGAAUUAAUACCGCAUGUGAUUAGAGAGGACAUCCUUUCGAAAUUAAAGUCGGGGCAACCUGACGCUUCUUGUGGGGCCCGCGGCCUAUCAGCUAGUUGGUGAGGUAACGGCCCACCAAGGCUUUGACGGGUAGCUGGUCUGAGAGGACGACCAGCCACACUGGGACUGAGACACGGCCCAGACACCUACGGGUGGCAGCAGUCGAGAAUUUUUGACAAUGGGGGAAACCCUGAUCGAGCGACGCCGCGUGGAGGAUGAAGGUCUUCGGAUUGUAAACUCCUGUCAUUGGGGAACAAUGCACAGAUAUUAACUGUAUUUGUGUUGAUAGUACCCGAAGAGGAAGGGACGGCUAACUCUGUGCCAGCAGCCGCGGUAAUACAGAGGUCUCAAGCGUUGUUCGGAUUCAUUGGGCGUAAAGGGUGCGUAGGCGGCGCGGUAAGUCGGGUGUGAAAUCUCGGGGCUUAACUCCGAAACUGCAUUCGAUACUGCCGUGCUUGAGGACUGGAGAGGAGACUGGAAUUUACGGUGUAGCGGUGAAAUGCGUAGAUAUCGUAAGGAAGACCAGUGGCGAAGGCGGGUCUCUGGACAGUUCCUGACGCUGAGGCACGAAGGUCAGGGGAGCAAACGGGAUUAGAUACCCCUGUAGUCC